Non-coding RNA from Parelaphostrongylus tenuis, 74 nucleotides. Lineage: Eukaryota; Metazoa; Nematoda; Chromadorea; Rhabditida; Metastrongylidae. The record is from the annotation of a GenBank genome assembly.
GCCUCUGUGGUGUAGUGGUAGAGCACGCGUCCCCGGACAGGAUGAAACGCGGGUUCUAUUACCGCAUAAGGGCG